CUACGGGGGGCUGCAGUGGGGAAUAUUGCACAAUGAGCGAAAGCUUGAUGCAGCCAUACCGCGUGUGUGAAGAAGGCCCGAGGGUUGUAAAGCACUUUCAAUUGUGAGGAAGGUUCAGUAGUUAAUACCUGCUGUUCUUGACGUUAACUUUAGAAGAAGCACCGGCUAACUCUGUGCCAGCAGCCGCGGUAAUACAGAGGGUGCAAGCGUUAUUCGGAAUUACUGGGCGUAAAGCGCGCGUAGGCGGAUUGUUAAGUCAGUUGUGAAAGCCCUGGGCUCAACCUGGGAACUGCAUCUGAUACUGGCAAUCUAGAGUUUAAGAGAGGGAAGUGGAAUUCCAGGUGUAGCAGUGAAAUGCGUAGAUAUCUGGAGGAACAUCAGUGGCGAAGGCGACUUCCUGGCUUAAAACUGACGCUGAGGUGCGAAAGCGUGGGUAGCGAACGGGAUUAGAUACCCCCGUAGUC
Molecule: ribosomal RNA, 464 nt
Filed under: uncultured bacterium
Lineage: Bacteria
Description: partial 16S ribosomal RNA
Rfam family: Bacterial small subunit ribosomal RNA
Source: RNAcentral